Neofelis nebulosa (Clouded leopard) is the source of this 9933-nucleotide long non-coding RNA. RefSeq lists it as uncharacterized. The record is from RefSeq and is a predicted model, not a curated record. Lineage: Eukaryota; Metazoa; Chordata; Mammalia; Carnivora; Felidae. The transcript is spliced from 2 exons.
AGGGAGACACAGGCACCUAUAAUUUAAAGAGAUUCAAUUUCAGAUUCUUAGACCUUGAAAGUAAUCAGUCCUAAAAUUGACCUGCCUCAGAAAAUGCUUGUGACCCAGGCAGUCUGCUGGUUCUCCUUUGGAAUGACUUAUCUUUAAAGGGAAGGUACACCUCACACUUACCCCUAAUCAUCAAGGUGCCAAGCAGAGGGAUAAUGAAAAUAUUGGUGUGACUGCUGAGUAAGACAAUGACCGUAAUGGAAAAUGAUCCUUUUGCAAGUAAGUUUCCCAUUGUUUACUGUCCAUAAAAUUGAGAGAAGGCUUAUUGAGUGGUCAGCUAAUAAGUUCUUAAAUCUUACACCCAUGGAUGCAUAUUAUUACUCUUUGCUAGAAAAAUCUUUUCCCAUUUCCAUCUACAUAUUUAUGCAAACCCAUAUUUUCAAUGCCUACAUCUGUAAUAGCUAAAUAUAAUAGAUUUCAUGUGGAAUCUUGUCUCCUUCCAGUAAUAAUAAUCUACAGAGAAUGAACUAAUGAGAGGAAGAGUCCCAUCCAUAUCAUUAAGAUACACAUACAUUUCCAAUAAAAUAUUGCUUAUAUUGAAUAAUUAUAUUAUUUUUUGGGUCACUUUUGACCUUACAAUAGUAAUUGUAUUGCACUCAAUUUAGAAGAAACUUUUAACACUGAAUUUUAUGGUUAAAUAUGUAAAUCUCAAUUUGCAGAGAGGUAAGAUGGGCAUGUAGGCAUAAAAGUAUAUUAAGACAUAAUACUGUAGGGAAAGUAGAAUGGAAAGAUGAGAUCAAGGAGAAAGGGAAAUGGUGCACAAUUUCCAACGUUUGAAGAUUUUAUUCAUUUACUUUUUUAAAUGGAUGUGGUAUGUGAAAAAUGCUGAUGGAACUUAGACUAGAAUAGAUGUAUUUAAAAGUGAUAUAGUAGUUUUAUUUACAACUCAGUAUUUACAGUAUGCCGGAAAUUAUAUUCUUUGCAACCAUUUGAGAUUACAGUGUGAAAUUUUGAAUGUUAACUUUAAAAUGGUGAAGAGCCCUGGGUCAGGCCUAUUGUGGGGACAAGGGUGAUGAGGAAGACAGGGUUAUUUAUUUUUUUCCUUGGUUAAAAUAUAUGGAAAGAUGAUAUAACUGGAUAUUUUUAAGCCUCUCAGCAAUAUUUUAAUAAAAAAAGAUAGUUGCCAAACUGUAAUAGGAUGUCCAAAAAUGCACUGUUUUCUAAGAUCACUUCCUCGUUGAGCCUUUAUGCCAUUCCUGACAUCUCCGUGUCUUCUGCCUUCUUCCUGCAUAACAGGAAUCUCUGUUAGAGGUGUUAUGUAGAUAUGCAGGCCGUUUGUGUUAUCAGUAGAUGUUAAUAGGUUUUGUUUUUCUAAACAAAAUCUUUUUAACAUUCUUUUGAAGUAUAGUUGACACACAAUGUUAUAUUAGUUUCAGGUGUACAACGUAGUGAUUCCACAAGCCCGUAUGUUACUCUACACAAGUUCACAAGUGUAGCUACCAUCACUUAAUGGGGUUUUAACUUAACCAGUUUGUUACACGCAGACAUGUCUUCAUGUUCUGCUAAUUUUCUUUUCUUUGUGUUUUUUUUUUGUUUUUGUUUUUUUUUUUUACUGGUGGUUUUAGUUCUCAAAGAGUCUAGAGAGAUUGGGAAUGCAUAAGGAAGUAGUUGAAGCCCUGAGAAAGGGUCUGGAUAUUCUGUGGUCUAAUUAUGGCUCUAUCGCUAACAAGCUGCUUAAAUUUACAGUUACUUUGUAGACAGUCAUGUUAAGGGGGAAUAUCCUUUUCUUGUUGCUUUUGUCAGAGCACAUUUGUGAACUUAUUAGAGAAAAUUGUUAAGACUUGACCACAAAAGCUUAUUUCUGUUGGUUCUAGGUCUCUAUGCUGGGUGCAUAGGAGAUCUAGAAGGGUAGAUCCACUCUGUCAUUUUUGGGUUGAUGGUUUUGGAAAGAUAUAACCAGAAAAUAGCAAACGGGUAAACUGAGGAUUGCAGUAAGGCAGAAAGUGUUAUAUUUUGUGAGCAGAUUAGGUAGUGGGGAAAACAGUAUCGAUAUUCUUGUUUUCUUAUAUUUGUUCUGAAUUCCAAUACUAGUGUUUCAGAAACUGUCAUAAUGUAAAAAUAUUAAAAAAAUACAACCCUUGUAAAAUUGGUCUCCAUUCAAACAUGUCUUCCUGCUUAGUGCUAGCUUCUAUACCACUCAUUUCCCAUUUGGUCGGUAGCCAGUGUCUUUGUGUUGGCUGUCGAAGAAGAAUUGACAAAGGGUGAUGUAUUUGAUGCUUCAAAAGAGGGUGGUUUAAAUGUCAAAACAUUAAGAGAUGUCCUUAUGCAAAUUACUAUGGCCCUUAAAUAUUUUUGCAAAAAUUUACCUGUGUGUAUCUCCCUCUAUAUCAUAUCAUACUACUAUUUGUCAAGAAUUAUGCUAAAAAUUCUCAACUCUUAACUCAUUCUUUGUUCCUACUGAGACUUACUUAGGACCUGGUUGGGAUUACAACAAUAUUUGUUAAAUAUAAAAAUGCUUAGUUUUAUAAGUUAGUUUUGUUUUUUAGGAUGUCAAGUCCCAGAUAAGUCUCUCUUUUUUUUUUUUUUUUUUUUUUUCCCCAUCUCUCUCUUACUCUUGUGGAUUUUAAGUGGCUUCCUUUGAGUAGCUGUUUUUUCAGGUACCAAUUUUCCCUCACAUAAGACACCACCCAGGCUUUGGAAGCUUAAUGGUGAAUCUGAAUCCCUCAGCCUCUGGCCAUGGGCAUCUUUGGCCAAAUAAUCUGUACAAGCUUUAAUUUCCUUCUCUGUAAAACGAGACUGAUGGUACCUUUCUCAGGAUGGUGUUGAGGUUUAUUAGCAGGCACGAAAGCACUUGGUGUGGGGCCUACACAAUAGCAAAUGCUAUGUGAUAGGACCAGAGGAUGUCAUUAAUUAUUUGCCAUCUUACUCUGGCAUCUCGGUUGCCUUGUACUUGGCAUUUGUCUCAGCUGAGAGGAGAAUUGCUUCUUAAAUGAUGGGAAACAAAUCAAGAAUGUGUAGUGAGGUGGGGCACCUGGGUGGCUCCGUUGGUGAAGCGUCCGACUUUGGUUCAGGUCAUGAUCUCGGUUCAGGUCAUGAUCUCGUGGUACAUGAGUUCAGGCCCCACGUUGGGCUCUGUGCUGACGGCUCAGAGCUUGGAGCCUGCUUCAGAUUCUGUGUCUCCCUCUCUCUCUGCCCCUCCCCCAUUCACGCUCUGUCUCUCUCUCUCAGAAAUAAAUAAACAUUAAAAAUAAUAAUAAAUAAAAGAACGGUUGCGAUGUAAGUAGGAGGGCAUGCUUGUGUUUUCAAAGUGAAGAUACAGUAGUUUGGUUUUUUUUAAAGUUUAUAAUCAAAAUAGCUAAUUUUUGAAUGCUUGCUUUAUGCUAGAUAUUCUUUAAAGCCCUCUACAAAUGCAACUGUGAGCUAGGUAGUAUUAAAAUGGGUACCAUCACUGUCCCCAUUUUAUAAUAGGAAAUCAAAGUGGGUAUUUACUCUGGUCCAGCUGGUAUGUGUAAUGCCUGUUAAAAUUUUUUUUUCGUAAGAAAAUUAAAGCCACCAUAAAGUACUGAAAUAACUAUUGUGGUUUUUUUAAGUUUAUUUAUUUUCAGAGAGAGCGAGUGCCAGCAGGGGAGGGGGAGAGAGAGAAGGAGAGAGAGAAUUAGAAGCAGGCUCUGUGAAAUGUCAGCAUGGAGCCUGAGGUGGGGCCCCAUCUCACGAACAGUGAGAUCAUGACCUGAGCUAAAAUCGAGUCAGCUGCCUAACUGACUGAGCCACUCAGGUGCCCCAUUAUUGUAUUUUUAAAAAUAGCUUUAUUUAGAUGCAAUUCACAGUUCAUACAGUCCCAUGUAGAUGCACCUGUUAAGGUGUACCGUUCGGUGGCUUUUGGCAUGCUAGCGGUUGUGCAGCCAUCACCCCAGUCUAAUUUUAGAACAUUUUCAUCACCCCAAAAAGAAACCUCACGCUCACUACCAGCCACUUCCCAUUACCUCCGCUCCAGUCCUUGGCAAGCACUACUCUAUUUUCUGUCUCUGUAGAUUCGCUUAUUCUGAACAUUUCAUACGAAUGGAAUCAUACAAUGUGCAGUCUUUUGACUGUUUCAUUUAGCUUAAUGUUUUUGAGGUUCACCCACAUUGUAGCAUAUAGCCUCAUUCCUUUGUAUUACCAAAUAAUAUGCCUUGUAUGGAUAUACUGAUUUUGUCUAUGUAUUCCUCAGUUGAUGUGCAUUUGGGAUGUUUCCAGUUCGGGGGCUAUGAUGAAUAAUGCUGCUAUGAACAUGGAUUGGUGUAUGGGUUUUGGUGUGGACAUGUGUUUUCAAUUCUCUUGGGUAUAUAUCUAAGGGUAUAAUUGCUGGUUCAUAUGUGACUCUAUGUGUCACAUUUUGAGGAACUGUCAAAACUCUUUGCCAAGUGUCUGUGCCAUUUUACAUUCCCAUCAGCAAGGUAGGAAAGGUUCCGAUUUCUCCACAUCCUCACCAGCAUUUAAUUACCUGACGUUUUGAUUAUAAUCAUGCUAGAUGUGAUGUGAAGUGAUAUCUUAUUGUGGUUUGGAUUUGCAUUUCUUUUUUUUUUAAAGUUUAUUUAUUUUGAGAGAGAGAAAAAGGGAGAGCACGUGCACAUGUGAUCAGGGGAGGGGCAGAGAGAGAGAAUCCCAGACAGGCUCCGUGCUGUCACUGCAGAGCUGGAUGCAGGGCUCGAUCUCACAAACCCUGAGAUCAUGACCUGAGCUGAAAUCAAGCGUUGGAUGCUUGACUGACUUGGCCGCCCAGGUGCCCCUGGAUUUGCAUUUCUUCAAUGACAAGUUGUGUUUGGCAUCUUUUCAUGUGCUUAGGGGCCAUUUGUGUAUUUUCUUUGGAGAAAUAUCUAUUCAAACCCUUUGCCCAUUUUUAAUUGGAUUAAUUGUAUCUUUAUUGUUUGGUUUGUACAGUUGACCCUUGAACAUCUUCGGUUUGAAAUGCAUAGGCCCACUUAUGCAUGGAUUUUUGUUUUCAAUAAAUGCAGUACAGUACUGUAAAUGUAUUUUCCUUAUGAUUUUCUUAGUAACAUUUUCCUCUCCCGAGUUUACCUUUUUGGUAAGAAUACAAUACUUAUAGCAUACAAAAUAUACAUUAGUCAACUGUUUAUGUUAUCAGUAAGGUCAACAGGAGUCUAUUAGUAAAGUUUUUGGGGAGUCAAAAAUUAUAUGUAGAUUUUCAUCUGCAUGGGAACAACCCCCACAUCGUUCAAGAGUCAGCCAUAUACUGUAAGGUUUUAAUGUAUCCUGCCAGAACUUUUUUCCAUUAAUAGGAUGUAUUAUUUUUACUAUAUAUUUUUAAGUGGGAUUGAGACAUACAGUUUUGUAAUUUUAUUUUUUUUCCUUUUUCUAGUUUUAUUGAGGAAUAAUUGACAUACACCACUGUAAAAGUUUAAGGUGGACAGAAUGAUGGUGUGACUUAUGAAUGUUGUGAUUACAGCAGUAGGUUUGGUUAGCAUCCAUCAUCUCCGUCAUCUCCUAUAGAUACAAUAAAAAUAGAAGAAAAUAAUUUUUUUUUCUUUGUGAUGAGAAUAACUUCUAGGAUUUACUCUUUUAACAACGUUCUUAUAUCUUAUACUGCAAUGUUGACUGUAGCCAUCACACUGUGUAUUACACAGUAGUUCUUUAUCUUAUUACUGGAAGUUUGUAUCUUUUAAACACCUCCUUCAGAUUCCUCCUCCCCGGUAACCACAAAUCUGAUCUCUUUUUCAAUGAGUUUUUUAGAUUCUACCUAUAAGUGAGAUCAUACAGUAUUUGUCUUUUCUCUGACUUAUUUUACAUAGCAUAAUGUAAAAUGCUCAGGGUCCACCUAUAUUGUUGCAAAUGGCAGGAUUUCCUUGUUUUUUUUUGUUUUUUUUUUGUUGUUGUUAUGGCUGAAUCACAUUCUAUUAGUGUAUAUGUGUGUGUCACACCUCUUUAUCCAUUUAUCCAUCAGUGGACACUUAGGUUGUUUUCAUGUCUUGGCUAUUGUAAGUAAUGCUACUAUGAACUUGGGGGCGGAGAUAUUUUUUUUGUGUUAGUGUAACUUGAUUUUAACCUUCCUAUAUUGUAACUGUCUUUUUGUGCCUGUGUUUAAUUAUAUCACUUGUAAUGACUGCUUUGUAGUUCAUUAUAUGAACAUUCCAUAAUUUAAAGUCUCAUACUUUAUAUAUAGAGUUUAUUUGAAAGGAAAAACAUCUACAUCUUUGAAUACUUGUGCAGUCAUUUCUUUAGGAUACUUUCCAUAUUAGAACCGAAAUUGCUGGGUCAAAACGUGGGCGGGUUUUAAAGCCUUUGAAAAAUAUUCCCUAAUUGUCCUCUGGAAACGCGGUUCCAGUUUAUACUCUCUUGCAAGUGUCUUAGGAUUGCUGGUUUCCCCACAACCUUCCCAAUACUAAGUAUCAGUAUUUUUGUUAAUAUUUAAUCUGAGGCCCCAGUUGGUAUUCUAUACUUCUUUAAAUUUGUAUUCAUUUAUUAAUGAAGUUGGUUGAAGUCUUUGUUUCCCACCAUUGUUCCUUGAGCCUGGAGAUUUCCUCUAUGCUUCUUCCAGAUGUCUCUCUGCCUGGGUACCCCUGAUCUGGGAAGGUUUUCCUAUCCCUUCCCCCACCUGCACAGACCUGAACACGUUCUCUCAUCCUCACUUCCCAAGGCCCUGGGAAGGAGCUGAGGAACAUGUUCACAUAGUUCCUCCCUCCCUUCCUUCCUUCCUUCCUUCCUUUCUCUUUUUUUAUACUUUCUUUUUAAUUUUUUUAAGUUAAUUUUUUUUGAGAGAGAGCGAGCACUGAGAGCAUGAGUGGGAAAGGAGCAGAGAGAGGGAGAGAGAGAAUCCCAAGCAAGCUGUCAGUGCAGAGCCUGAUGCGGGGCUCAAACCCAUCAACCCUGAGAUCAUGACCUGAGCCAAAACCAAGAGCCCCAUGCUCAACUGACUGAGCCACCCAGCUGCCCCUACGUUUUCAAAAGUAAAAUAUAUUAUGUAUUUUUUCUUCCCUUAGCACUACCCACCCCUGCCAAAUAAUUUUCAAAACCCCAUAAAAGCUGGAUCUCCCUGCCUGGGACAUGUAACGUGUUCAGAACAAAGUUGGGUUGAAUGGCAUGCAUGAAGUUUAGUGUUUACUAGCUUUUUGAGCAUUCGCAGAGGUACUUUUGUUCAUCUGAGGCUUGGUUCCUAGUAGACUCAUGAAAAAUAAGGUAGCAGUGAAAGAAAUACUAUCUGAACGUUUUUAACGGUUAAGAUUCAUUUUAUGGGCAGUAUUGUUUAUGCAAUCAUGUGUUCCCAAACCUUGUUAACCAGAAGUCAAAAAUCUAUUUUGGUACGUUCCUGAUUUCCUGUGAUAACCCAGUCAAAUUACUCAUUGCCUGUAUAACCUCUUUCUUAACUCACUCUGUUUUACAUCUCUUAAAGCCUUUAAACUGAGUAGGAAUCUUUUAGAACCCUAGUUUUUAGGUCUUGAAAAUUUGCCCCGCUUGAGUGAUGGGGCUUCAAGGUGACUUAAUUUUACUAGUUUUCCAUAUUUCCUAAACUGACAAUGAGUGUGUAUGUAAUAAUGGGGUGAGAAAAACCAAUAAACUGUUGAGUAAAACAUUUCUGACUUGCUGUUAGUGAGACCUGGGGCUUGGAACAUGGGGAUAAACACACAGGGCUUUCACUUGACUCCAGCUGGGUUCGUGUUUAGAAGUGAGGUCGAUCAACAGGUGUGUGAGUUCACACAGGCCCCCUGGCACGUGCUGUGCACUGUGAUGGAACACCAUAACUUCAAAAUGUCUCAUUUUCCCCGAGCACCUUUGGUUAGCUCUGUUGGAUCCUGCUGAGUAUUUCCAAAGACAGCGUUUUGGGUAUAAUAGAAAACUGUGGUAGCUAGGGGCCAGGCGGGAUGUCCAAGAGCUGAUCCAAAGAGAAAACAGAAUCAGAAGAAGCUGAGCCUAUUGUCGAAGUCUGUGAAAAUAGGAAGCAGACACAAUUAGCUGAGAAACUGUUAAUGGAAUAGAAAAGUUUGAAAACAUAAGGAAUAAAUUAGUUUUUGUCUCAGCAUGAGGUCAUUCUGGAGAGAAAACAUACGUAACAAAUGCGAUGUUGCAGGGUCAGGGUGUAGACUAGCGAGACUGUAGCAUGACGUGUGGAAAGGGGAAAUUGGGUAAAUUAUUGAGAAAUUCCUAAUAAUUAAAAUCAUAUGUGACAGUUUCAAAAAAUUAUCACAGGCUUUUUGGUAUAUGUUGGCAUAUGUUUACUAUGAAAAUCAGUAGCCUCACGUGGUGCUCAGACUCUGUUCUCAGUAUUCCUAGGAUAUAUCAGAGCCAGUUUGCAGCUUUUAGAUGGAAUCUGUGACUCCAGGGGACAUUACUUAGUGACAUGCUGAUUCGGGCCUCCUCCCUCUUGUCUGCUCCAUAGCAGGGUAGGCACCUGGAAAUCCUACUUGUUAAGGCCCUUACAGACCCUGAGAAACUUUAACCUGUGGUUUACUUGUUGUAGUUUAAACUUUUGAACACCUUUCUUACAUUUCCUGUGAUCAGUUUUUAGUCUCUAUGUGUAGAACUCUUCUCCCCGCCCUAAACUAACUCUAACGACAAAACACUUCAAGUCGUGCUGAAUUCUUUGCAUUUAAUUAUGAGUCCAUCUCACUCAAGAAUCCCAGCACGCCAGAUGCCUCUAUCCACCCAACUGAAACCAUUGUUCCCUAAACCCACUCAGUCCCUGGGGAAAGGAGAGGACGCUUCGAAGAGUUGGCCUUUCCUAAUCUCUCAUCGGUGCUUCUCAAACCCUCCUGACGGAGGGGAAUGAACUGCCCCAGGGAUCUAGGGCCUUCCCGCUGUCCCACCUCAAGUGGGACAAGUAUUUAAAGGGUAGUCAUCUGUUUUUCACAUGGCUGCAAACCACAUGCUCUAAACUGUUGCGUUUAUUUUAAUAUAAAAAAAUCUUCCUUUCAAGUCUUACGUACAACUGGCACCAAGAAAGAUGGACCGUGUACGUUCAAAGCCUCCAGAAACCCCAAAGCCCCAAAGGUAGCCCAGAUGAGGAAGUAGGCCUGGCUGUCCCAGCCCAUGAGUUCUCAUUGCAGGCUCCCACACACUGAACUUCUGACAAGACCUUCCCCUGAGCAAAUGACGGCUAUGUGUACCAUUCGCUGGGAAUUUACCUAUCGGGCUUUAACCCCGUCGUUUUGUUUUCACAUGCAUAAGUGUGUAAACUCCCUGUGAUCGAGGAAGGUCAAACUUCCCUAUUUGUCCACCACAUCUAAUCCUGUUUCUGACACAUGACAGACUCUCGGGACAGCAGGUUCUUUAGAAACCUUGAGUAAAAGAAAAAAAUGUGGAUGGAGCCAACAGGCCAUCUUCCUGGAGACUCACAGUGCAUUUCUGUCUUAGCGCCUGAUAAGCCCCUCAGUCCUGACAGGGAGAACAACAAUGUAUCCUACUGUAUAACAGGGCCAUUUUUCCUUUGUCCCUGCCAAAGGAAACGGGCCAAAUUAUAUGUGUACUAAAUUCACACAUCUGCUUUAAAAUUACAUUCGCCUGCCGUUCCCCUCCAAUGUAAACCCAAGUCAUAAAGUUUAAAAUCGCUCAUUCUCCAUAUUCUAAAUGAGUCAGACAGGUACAGAUACUCAAACACCUUCCAUAGCAAUUUAAAGUGUCUGAAGACUUUCAUCUUAGCUGCUCUCCCUCUAUGGCCUUCGUGUCACCUGAAGUUUGAGUAAAACUUCACAAUCUCUGUGGCAAGCAAGAAUACAAAGCGAGAGACCUAUUGACGUGGAUUCGAGUACAAAGUCUUCAACCUCAAAAAUAAGUAUGUGAUGCCACUAAAUCAUUUUCUGUCACAGCUUCUGUCACUUCAGCAACUUUCACUGAAAGCUUGGCCCCAAGCAAGCAACUCAAAAAGACAAUAUUUACACAUGGCAUCAGAAUAACUGCUGUCGAAAUCCCAGAGAACUUUCCCUACCGAUCCUCUAAGCAAAGAAUAAAAAGUGU